GCCGAGGGGCCCUGCUGCACAGCACGGAGCAAAAAGCUCAUUCCAGCCAGCUAAGCCGCCUGCCUGUCUUUGUGCUUUUCGGGUGUUUGUGCUGGUCGGAGUGGGAGCGGAGACCCUGCAGCGCGGGCAGUUCCAGAGCCUGGCCGUCUAUCUGCUUUUCUCAGGGGCAGCAAUUUCCAUCUGGGAAGUCUCCUUCUUUGUCUGCCUGCUCCUGGGUGCCCCUGUGCCAC
This is a non-coding RNA of Pelodiscus sinensis (Chinese soft-shelled turtle), 230 nucleotides long. Lineage: Eukaryota; Metazoa; Chordata; Testudines; Trionychidae. The record is from RefSeq and is a predicted model, not a curated record.